This is a long non-coding RNA of Brienomyrus brachyistius, 1396 nucleotides long. RefSeq lists it as uncharacterized. The transcript is spliced from 3 exons. The record is from RefSeq and is a predicted model, not a curated record. Lineage: Eukaryota; Metazoa; Chordata; Actinopteri; Osteoglossiformes; Mormyridae.
ACGCCGUCACUGGGAAUUUACCUAGUUUCCCCUUAUAAGAUGAUCAGCAGACGCUUCUAUCAUAAAAGUUAGCAGGCUCAGAUAGCAAUUAGGGAUUCAGGGCCUUGCUCUGGGGCUCAGUGUACCCUGGGGUUCAAACCAGUGACCAUCCGAUUACAGGUAUAGAGCCCUAACCUGCUGUGCCACGCAUGCCCCCCCCCCGAUUAUGUUAUUUGUUCAUUGCAGGCGGCACAGCAAUGAAGGGGCUGUACUUGUUGUUGAAUUUCAGCUGGUAAAAAUCCCUACGAGCUGAUAUCUUUCCUCAGGGGAAGGAGUUCCAGCGUUCAGCAGUUAAAAAAGAAACGUUCAUGCAGUAAUCGUCGCUAAUUAUGUAUGCGACUUAAAAGCUUGGCCUGGCAGGUUCCUUUCCAGCCCGAAUCCCCGGAAUCCCGCGAGCAGCCAGCCUGGUAAUUAUCGCCGUUACCAGUGAACGGUUGUGAGGAGUGAUUUCAGAGAGCGAAGCCGGGAGUUUUACUAGGUGGCAUUCAGGUGGUGCACUAGGUGGUGCACUAGGUGGCAUUUAGGUGGUGCACUAGGUGGCAUUUAGGCGGGGCAAUAGGUGGUGCACUAGUUGGCAUUUAGGUGGUGCACUAGGUGGUGCACUAGGUGGCAUUUAGGUGGUGCACUAUGUGGCAUUUAGGUGGUGCACUAGGUGGCAUUUAGGCGGGGCAAUAGGUGGUGCACUAGUUGGCAUUUAGGUGGUGCACUAGGUGGUGCACUAGGUGGCAUUUAGGUGGUGCACUAUGUGGCAUUUAGGUGGUGCACUAGGUGGCAUUUAGGCGGUGCACUAGGUGGCAUUUAGGUGGUGCACUAGGUGGUUCACUAGGUGGCAUUUAGGUGGUGCACUAGGUGGUGCACUAGGUGGCAUUUAGGUGGUGCACUAGGUGGUGCACUAGGUGGCAUUUAGGUGGUGCACUAGGUGGUGCACGCUGACCUCCGCCCCAUCGACCAUGACGACGGCUCGGUGUGUUUUGGUGCCUAGCCAAAGGCACGUGUUCACAAAUCAUCGCCCUGACAGCCGCAUGCUCCAGACACCCCUGAAACAAACUCUGUAACACUUCUGAACUUUUUAAAACCACAUUUACUCCUGAUUAAUGUGUCUGAAGCCCAGCUGAGUACUGCGUUGGUUGAUUACUCAUUAAGUGCCAGAAUCUUGUUAAGGUCUGUAUACUGGUUACUGAGUUCAUAAAUGACUUGUGGUUUUUAAAUAAGAAAUAUAUUGAAGCGUAAGAAGCCAGUUUAAGGUAAAACAAACAGGCCCCUGGGUAAAGUAACAGUCAUCGUUUGACGGAGUUCUGCUGUCGUUUUGGUUCGUUUGUGCUGUGUGUCUUCAGCGGCGUGCCGGACCAGGGCGACU